This 346-nucleotide ribosomal RNA is filed under the name uncultured bacterium. Its description in RNAcentral is "partial 16S ribosomal RNA". It matches the Rfam family "Bacterial small subunit ribosomal RNA", at positions 338 to 681 of the family's 1533-position model. The record is from RNAcentral.
CCUACGGGAGGCAGCAGUGAGGAAUAUUGGUCAAUGGACGAGAGUCUGAACCAGCCAAGUAGCGUGAAGGAUGACUGCCCUAUGGGUUGUAAACUUCUUUUAUAUGGGAAUAAAAUGUUCCACGUGUGGGAUUUGGUAUGUACAAUAUGAAUAAGGAUCGGCUAACUCCGUGCCAGCAGCCGCGGUAAUACGGAGGAUCCGAGCGUUAUCCGGAUUUAUUGGGUUUACAGGGAGCGUAGGUGGCUUGUUAAGUCAGUUGUGAAAGUUUGCGGCUCAACCGUAAAAUUGCAGUUGCUACUGGCAGUCUUGAGUACAGUAGAGGUUGGCGGUAUUCGUGGUGUAGCCG